Notolabrus celidotus (New Zealand spotty) is the source of this 2370-nucleotide long non-coding RNA. RefSeq lists it as uncharacterized. The transcript is spliced from 3 exons. The record is from RefSeq and is a predicted model, not a curated record. NCBI's taxonomy places the organism in Eukaryota, Metazoa, Chordata, Actinopteri, Labriformes, Labridae.
UCAGUGCGAGGAGAAAAAAUGAGCUACACUGUGAAAGUGUUUUCUGUCUUUCAGAGUAAGAACAUAAACCUCUGUGGCUCACUCAAACCAAACUGCCUCAUUUCCUCAUCUGAUGCAUAUAAAGCUCAACCCGAUGCAGCUCUCUCUGAUCUCAGGUCCCUGUAGUAAGCACUCUGCAGAGUACAGCAGCACUUAAUGUAGCACCCACUGAGAAUCAGCUUUCAGAGGAUGAGAUGCAGUCUGCUGUGACCUGGAGCUCUGAGGCCCCAGGGAACAGCCUGCAAUUUUCACAAGGUCAACAGUUAAAGAAAUAACCAGGACGACCCACGGAGCAAAAAGCAGAACGAGUGCUCCACAUUCAGCUGGCUGUCUUCUCAAAGACAUUUCUCCACCGGCUUGUCAGUCAUCAGUGUGUCCAUCACUGAGCUUUUCAAUCGAGAAUGACAGGAGUUGGGAGUCAAAAUGACGAGUUGUGACCUCUGGAGAGUUGAAGUAUUUGAAGCAGGCCUGUGAUGGCACAGUUUGAUGUUGAGAGAACUGGAAACUGCAGUGACUUUCACAGCGAGGAAGAGAACACAGCUUUUAUAUCUGCUGCAGAUUUUAACUCACAAGAUACUGUUACCGGGCCUACAGCUGAAAUGUUCUACGAGAAAAACUACCAAAGAAGAAGAAAAGUAAAACGUUUUCCACAGAGAGGGUCUUGUUUCUGUGCAAAAGGCGAGGAUACCCCUACCAACAGAAUUCGGUCUACCUCCUUCCUCUAUCACGCAGCAGCUCUGGAGCUGACAUGGACCACCCUUUCUGAGGAGAAGUGCAGAGAGGUCAGACUCCAGAGGGAUCUCAUUGUGGAUUGGAUUGGCUGCCUCUCUGCAUUGCUGUCAGGACAUCACACUCUCUCUUCUGAGUGUCAGCUCAGAGCACUGAUCAUCAAUCAAACAGGGUUUCAAAUUGACUCACCAGCCUGUCAUGUGGAUAAAGAGAUGAAAAAAAGCUUCUAUGACUACCAUUUGUUUUCCACCUUUUCUGGUGGAAGGCAGUUAAACCUCUGAAGAAACAAGUUGUCACUCACAGAUUAGUCAGUAUACAUGAUAAUCUGAGUACACAGAUUAUUGUGUAGAUUUAUUUAUGUUUAGAAAUGAGACUGGGAGGACCCUAAUCUCAUCACAGCCUUAUAUAUAAUGUGCUCUCAUGCAGCAUUUUAAACCUCCUGUGACAUUUAGAAGAUUAGUGCCCACAGACAGAUGUCAUUUGAAAAUUGUAAACAACUUUUACUUGCAUAAACACUGAUGAAGAAGCCUGUGAAGUUCAGGAGACACUAAGACAGCCUGUUACAGUCAGAGUAUGAAAAGUUGUGCUGAGCAAACAGUGCAGACUUCAGAGAGUCACACCUCAAAGAAGGUCAAUUCAUGCAGAAUUAUCUUCUGUAAUAUAAAUCUGGCACUAAAUUAUCUAUGAAGGUCAAAGGCCCUACAUCUCCACAGUGAUAGCAUCAGUGUAUCCAAAUACAGCUCAGAAAAACAGUCAGAACGUUGAGAUAGUAAUAUCAACAGGCUGACAUUAUCACAGCAGAGACUAUCAAAUAUUUGAUCACAUUUCCAUCUCAAAAGCAGAGAAGAAAUGUCUUCCUUAGCUCUGUUGAUAAUAUCACGUUUAUGUGUUCUGUUUUCUGAGGAAAUGCUGCAUCUCUGCAGACCACGACACUGCAGGUAAACCAGGACCCUCUGUGCCUCCUGAAGGGCGUCUGUUUUGUGCCGAGUAUGCGGCAACCAUUGCUGAAAGGUCAACGCAGCCUCUCAGUGUGAGAGCUGUGAGAUAUCUCUGUCACUCAGCUGUCCUUCAACAGAUUAUCUACCUCAGCUACCAAUGUCAUAAGGUGCUUAACCUGCAAUCAUAUUGAGAUGUAUCUUUCUGUGAACCAUCGGGGGAUUGUUGUGCAGCUUUUAGAAAGCAUAUUCAACCUCAGCCUCUUACUUGUCUGAAGGACUGCUGCAGGACCACAUUUCAACUAUGCUUCUUCCAGCACUUCCAGACAAUUUAAACUCAAGCAAAAUGGAAUAAAAACAUACACAAUGAGCACAUUCACAUGUUUCAUUAGAUUUAAUGUACUUUGUGUUUUCAUUUGAGUUGGCAGCUUCCUAAAGGAAUAUCUUCUGUAAUGUCUCGUUACAAUAGAAAGGAAAAGUCACUUACAUCUCCGUGUCUAUUUGGAUGUAAAUUACAGUGUCCAGUUCCCUCAAGAAAUACUUUAAUCUCACAAGAGAUUUCUUCAGCAUCUUUACAUAAAAUGUUUCUGUUAAUCUGUUUCAGUUUGUGGUUGAAGCUAAAUGAGAUUAAAGCUCUAUUAAAGUUCUCCAGCAUAGAGUCAUUUCU